GACAGAGGGUGCAAACGUUGUUCGGAAUCACUGGGCGUAAAGCGCGUGUAGGCGGCAAUGCAAGUCGGAUGUGAAAUCCCGCGGCUCAACCGUGGAAGUGCACCCGAAACUGCAUAGCUAGAGUGUCGGGGAGGAAGGUGGAAUGCUUGGUGUAGAGGUGAAAUUCGUAGAUAUCAAGCGGAACACCGGUGGCGAAGGCGGCCUUCUGGACGACGACUGACGCUGAGACGCGAAAGCGUGGGUAGCAAACAGG
This 253-nucleotide ribosomal RNA is filed under the name uncultured bacterium. RNAcentral's name for it is "partial 16S ribosomal RNA". It matches the Rfam family "Bacterial small subunit ribosomal RNA", at positions 524 to 776 of the family's 1533-position model. The record is from RNAcentral.